Long non-coding RNA from Spinacia oleracea (spinach), 2304 nucleotides. RefSeq lists it as uncharacterized. The transcript is spliced from 3 exons. The record is from RefSeq and is a predicted model, not a curated record. Lineage: Eukaryota; Viridiplantae; Streptophyta; Magnoliopsida; Caryophyllales; Amaranthaceae.
AAGGGUUCUCAUUGGUGGUUAUUGCCCAAGUUUCAGCUCGAGUGGGAAAGGGAAUGUGGGUGUGCAAUAUGAGGCCGACAAUCAAGGGCCAACAAGCAAAGUGUCUAUUAUGUUUGUUGUUUUUAAUGUUUUGCGUCUAAAGUGGGAUGUAAGAGCUAGUAGAGCUCAUAUUAAAAGUUUCAGAUGUGAAAAGUCUUAAACGACCUCGAAACUUUCAUAGUUUGUAAAGUGACGAAGCUACGUUGGGGCCAAGGGGGCCUGGGCCCUGUCAAAAACCAAAAGAUCUCUGUAUCAGUAAUAUACCUGACGAAUCUCUAUUAUAUAAAGGAACAGCCGAGGUCUUUUUGGUAAAAUAACUUUUCGUGUCCCCUUUUGAAAAGUCCGUUAUACCCUCACAUAUCUCUCCUUCUGUUUCGUUGUUUAUGCACUCUCUUCAGUCUUCCCCCUCUCACUUUUCUCUCUCCUCCCUUUUCCCUCACUGACCCAUUCCUAGGGUUAGACAUUCUCGUCGUCUCCUGCGAUUUCUCCCCUCCAUCUCUCCCGCAACUGCGAUUGACUCGGGUGUUGCUUCCUCAUACUCAAACUCCAUAUCGUCGUAGGUUUCAAGCUCUACCAAUUCGCCUUCAAUGGCGAAGAAUAGAGGAAAUGGGGUUUCUGGGAGGUCGUUUUCGUCGAUUUCAAUGGCGUCGUCGGAGAUUGUGGUCUCAGGUACUAAUUCUAUAUCGAAAUUUAAGACCUGGUUUUCCAUUUGAAAUUUUAAGUGUGAAAUUUAGGGAUUUAAUUUGAUUUUAGGGUUUUCCGCCAGGUUAAUUUGAUUUUAGGGUUUUCCGCCAGGUUAAUUAAUUAGUUUAUUUAUUGUUUGAUUUUAGGGUUUACAUAAUUUUUCGGCGGAUUAAUUAGUGAUUUGGGUUUGUAAAACUGCAGACUGUUGCUAUGAAUUUUAUAAUGAAGCAUGGGAAGGGUGAUUAAGAUCUUCACAAUCUUAGGAAGGAGAUUGAGUUUCUUAAUAAAGAGCUUCCUAUUCGAAUUGCGCGCAAGCUAUUGAACUUGAUAAUGCGUUAUUGAAUUCGGGCUCUUCAAUAAUCAAAUCGUGGGCCUUACAUCGCUUCCCACCGUCGGCCUUCCAUCGCUUCCCAUGGAUCUCUGCCGGAAAUGGUGCAGCAACCCAGAUCGUUUUUUCACUUUGAAUAACUUUCUUACUUAGAUCUUUUAACUAAUUGUUGUUGUUUGUUGAUUGUUGUUUGUUGAUUGUUGUUUGUUGAUUUUGCAUUCAUAUAGGUUGAAAAAUUGAGAAAUAGAAAAAUGGGAAGGGGAAAGAUCUCGAUCGAGAGGAUUGACAACUUGACAAGCAGGCAGUAACCUUUACUAAAGAGGAUUGACAAUUUAAAGAUUGUGUUUCUUGAGUUUUUUCAUUGGUUUUUGUUUUAUUUCGUUAAAGAAUGGUUUUUGUGAAGUGUAUCUUAAUACAGUUCACAUUUUUAUGAACUUUAUUGGACUUAAAAAUCUAAUUAAUGACUCUCUCCACAUUAAAAAUGACAGUUAUUUUAUUGGGUAGAGUUAGAUCUUGGGGUUUUCUCUUUGAAUGCUAAUGAGUAGUUUGACUUCAGUUGUGUUUGGGAUAGUUAGAACCCUUAGAAGUAGUUAUGUCGGUGUUGGCCACGGAAUAUUAUGCAUUUAGAUAUCUUAUUGUCUAGCCGUAAUGACUUCAAAUAACUUCUCUCUUCGCUAGAGGGGAUUUUGUUAUUAGUCCAAUUUAUUUUUCAAAGGCUCUGAGCUAUCCAUUUUCUCUUGAUUGAUGUACUUUGCGAAUUAUAAUCAUAGUAUAUGUAUGCAUAUCUUUCGGUUGAAAUAACCAGAAUUUGUGCAAGAAAAAGAUUUUUUGCAGGAUAUUGAGAAGGAGAAGAAGAGAAGCAAGAACACUGAUAGUAUGAAAGAAGAUGAAAGUGAAGAGGUGUCUGAGAUCAAGGCAUCAGACUUUGAAGAGUCGAUGAAGUAUGCACGAAGAAGUGUCAGCGAUGCAGACAUUAGGAAAUACAAGUCGUUUACACAAACGUUGCAGCAGUCUCGCGUGUUUGGUACUGAAUCCCGUUUUGACACAAAUCAGAGUGCAACUGUUGCUAAUGCUACUACCUCUGCUGAAGCCACUAAUGAUUUAUAUGAUUAGAAGUUCGUUGCACAUGAAUGUUAAUACGAAGUAAUAUAGUCGUAAAUUGUAGAGGUAGAAUUUAAGGUUUUAUUCAUGUCGGUUUUAAUCUUAUUUGAUGAAACUCAAUUUAUUUCACAAUGAAUAUUCUUUAUCUUCAA